CUAAUAAAGUGAUACGAUGAACGCGUUUGAUUGACGCUUUGUUGUCUAUUUUAGUAUGUACGCCUUUCAACCAAGCUGGAGAGAAGCUCCCUAUUCUUACCACCACCAAAUUAGAUCUACUUCUCAAUUGCGUUUUGUUAUGUGUUAAAAGAAGCGAGUUAUUGCGCAUAAACAUGCUAAUUCUGGAAUUCUUGGCUGAUAUUAUCGUUAAACUUGAUCUUAUGCUGGCUGGGGUACUGACUUUAGUCAUAGUAUUAGAAGAAGUUAGUUCUAGGAAGAUGCCACAAACGAAACGAAAUGGAGAAAGUAGUUGUAUAAAUUCCGAUUGCAGCUAAUAAGGCCAAUACAAGAGUGGUAAAAGGCGAGUUUCUUCUUUUCAUUCUUUAUUGACUGUAGCAGUUAAGGCGACUUUAUAAAAACCAUGAAUAAACACGAACUGCAAAAUGA
Molecule: long non-coding RNA, 447 nt
Organism: Hermetia illucens (black soldier fly)
Lineage: Eukaryota; Metazoa; Arthropoda; Insecta; Diptera; Stratiomyidae
Exons: 2
Source: RefSeq, a predicted model, not a curated record